This is a long non-coding RNA of Malus domestica (apple), 711 nucleotides long. RefSeq lists it as uncharacterized. Lineage: Eukaryota; Viridiplantae; Streptophyta; Magnoliopsida; Rosales; Rosaceae. The record is from RefSeq and is a predicted model, not a curated record.
UGGCCCAACUCUUUCUUCCUCUCGUUAAUCUUAGACUCUCUCUCUACCUUCCCAAGUUUGGACCCUCACUAAGGCACUCUCGCUCUCGUUAAUCUUAGACCCUCACCUCACCCUCCUCGCCCUCACUCAGUCACUCUCUCUCUCAACAUCACCCUCCUCGCCGAUUUCUCUCAUCCUCCCACAUCAGACAAGUGACUCACCUAUCAUCCCUCACCUCACUGUGCACCGAUUCUCCCCCAAAUCAGUUCAAAAAGUGUAUAGAUGUCGCAGUUGAUCACUCGUCGUCAGAGUGUGACCAAUGCGCCUCCCUCAUUAUUAGCAUCUACUGCUCCAGCAGUGAGUGCUCCAUUGAUUAGGGAGCCUACACCCCUUGUUGAGGCUACUUCUAUGGCGUCCUAGGUGCCCGUCUCAUCGACAUCAUCAAUUUCGGAAGAGCAAAUGAGGGUGCAGCUGAUGGCCCAGGGUGAGGAGAUGAGGACCUAUGCCGGGAUGGUGAAAGACCUUGUACAAGCCAUACAGAUGUCCGGCCUCCAAAUCUCGCUACCAACAUCUCAUCUUGCUCCACCUUCGACCUCAGAGCCACCUUACCCUGCCGUUACCUAGUAGCCUAAUGUAUUAAGCCUAGUUCACUUGUAGUUUUUUCUUUUUUGUUCGAACAUCUUGUAUGUACAUUUUCAUAUAUUUUACAAUUAAAUACUUUUGCUUGGUUAA